RNAcentral lists this ribosomal RNA (507 nucleotides) under uncultured bacterium. Its description in RNAcentral is "bacterial SSU rRNA". It matches the Rfam family "Bacterial small subunit ribosomal RNA", at positions 1 to 507 of the family's 1533-position model. The record is from RNAcentral.
AUACGAGUUUGAUCUUGGCUCAGAUUGAACGCUGGCGGAAUGCUUUACACAUGCAAGUCGAACGGCAGCACGGGGGCAACCCUGGUGGCGAGUGGCGAACGGGUGAGUAAUACAUCGGAACGUGCCCAGUCGUGGGGGAUAACGUAGCGAAAGCUACGCUAAUACCGCAUGCGAUCUACGGAUGAAAGCGGGGGAUCGCAAGACCUCGCGCGAUUGGAGCGGCCGAUGGCAGAUUAGGUAGUUGGUGGGGUAAAGGCUCACCAAGCCUUCGAUCUGUAGCUGGUCUGAGAGGACGACCAGCCACACUGGGACUGAGACACGGCCCAGACUCCUACGGGAGGCAGCAGUGGGGAAUUUUGGACAAUGGGCGAAAGCCUGAUCCAGCCAUUCCGCGUGCAGGAUGAAGGCCCUCGGGUUGUAAACUGCUUUUGUACGGAACGAAACGGCCUUUUCUAAUACAGAGGGCUAAUGACGGUACCGUAAGAAUAAGCACCGGCUAACUACGUG